This 490-nucleotide ribosomal RNA is filed under the name uncultured bacterium. Its description in RNAcentral is "partial 16S ribosomal RNA". It matches the Rfam family "Bacterial small subunit ribosomal RNA", at positions 30 to 507 of the family's 1533-position model. The record is from RNAcentral.
AUUGAACGCUGGCGGCAGGCCUAACACAUGCAAGUCGAACGGUAACAGGAAGAAGCUUGCUUCUUUGCUGACGAGUGGCGGACGGGUGAGUAAUGUCUGGGAAACUGCUUGAUGGCGGGGGAAAACUACUGGAAACGGUAGCUAAUACCGCAUAACUUUGCAAGAGCAAAGAGGGGGACCUACGGGCCUCUUUCCAUUGGCUGUGCGCAGAUGGGAUUAGCCAGUAGGUGGGGGGACGGCUCACCAAGGCGACGAUCCCUAGCUGGUCUGAGAGGCUGACCAGCCACACUGGAACUGAGACACGGUCCAGACUCCUACGGGAGGCAGCAGUGGGGAAUCUUGCGCAAUGGGCGCAAGCCUGAUGGAGCCAUGCCGCGUGUGUGAAGAAGGCCUUCGGGUUGUAAAGUACUUUCAGCAGGGAGGAAGAAAGUAAAGUUAAUACCUGCACUCAUUGACGGUACCCGAAGAAGAAGCACCGGCUAACUACGUG